This 465-nucleotide ribosomal RNA is filed under the name Vreelandella stevensii. RNAcentral describes it as "partial 16S ribosomal RNA". It matches the Rfam family "Bacterial small subunit ribosomal RNA", at positions 338 to 795 of the family's 1533-position model. Lineage: Bacteria; Pseudomonadati; Pseudomonadota; Gammaproteobacteria; Oceanospirillales; Halomonadaceae. The record is from RNAcentral.
CCUACGGGUGGCUGCAGUGGGGAAUAUUGGACAAUGGGCGAAAGCCUGAUCCAGCCAUGCCGCGUGUGUGAAGAAGGCCUUCGGGUUGUAAAGCACUUUCAGUGGGGAAGAAAGCCUUGGGGCUAAUACCCUCGAGGAAGGACAUCACCCACAGAAGAAGCACCGGCUAACUCCGUGCCAGCAGCCGCGGUAAUACGGAGGGUGCGAGCGUUAAUCGGAAUUACUGGGCGUAAAGCGCGCGUAGGCGGUCUGAUAAGCCGGUUGUGAAAGCCCCGGGCUCAACCUGGGAACGGCAUCCGGAACUGUCAGGCUAGAGUGCAGGAGAGGAAGGUAGAAUUCCCGGUGUAGCGGUGAAAUGCGUAGAGAGCGGGAGGAAUACCAGGUGCGAAGGCGGCCUUCUGGACUGACACUGACGCUGAGGUGCGAAAGCGUGGGUAGCAAACAGGAUUAGAUACCCGAGUAGUC